AAAUUGAAGAGUUUGAUCAUGGCUCAGAUUGAACGCUGGCGGCAGGCCUAACACAUGCAAGUCGAGCGGUAGCACAGAGAGCUUGCUCUCGGGUGACGAGCGGCGGACGGGUGAGUAAUGUCUGGGAAACUGCCUGAUGGAGGGGGAUAACUACUGGAAACGGUAGCUAAUACCGCAUAACGUCGCAAGACCAAAGUGGGGGACCUUCGGGCCUCAUGCCAUCAGAUGUGCCCAGAUGGGAUUAGCUAGUAGGUGGGGUAAUGGCUCACCUAGGCGACGAUCCCUAGCUGGUCUGAGAGGAUGACCAGCCACACUGGAACUGAGACACGGUCCAGACUCCUACGGGAGGCAGCAGUGGGGAAUAUUGCACAAUGGGCGCAAGCCUGAUGCAGCCAUGCCGCGUGUGUGAAGAAGGCCUUCGGGUUGUAAAGCACUUUCAGCGGGGAGGAAGGCGGUGAGGUUAAUAACCUCAUCGAUUGACGUUACCCGCAGAAGAAGCACCGGCUAACUCCGUGCCAGCAGCCGCGGUAAUACGGAGGGUGCAAGCGUUAAUCGGAAUUACUGGGCGUAAAGCGCACGCAGGCGGUCUGUCAAGUCGGAUGUGAAAUCCCCGGGCUUAACCUGGGAACUGCAUUCGAAACUGGCAGGCUAGAGUCUUGUAGAGGGGGGUAGAAUUCCAGGUGUAGCGGUGAAAUGCGUAGAGAUCUGGAGGAAUACCGGUGGCGAAGGCGGCCCCCUGGACAAAGACUGACGCUCAGGUGCGAAAGCGUGGGGAGCAAACAGGAUUAGAUACCCUGGUAGUCCACGCCGUAAACGAUGUCGAUUUGGAGGUUGUGCCCUUGAGGCGUGGCUUCCGGAGCUAACGCGUUAAAUCGACCGCCUGGGGAGUACGGCCGCAAGGUUAAAACUCAAAUGAAUUGACGGGGGCCCGCACAAGCGGUGGAGCAUGUGGUUUAAUUCGAUGCAACGCGAAGAACCUUACCUGGUCUUGACAUCCACAGAACUUUCCAGAGAUGGAUUGGUGCCUUCGGGAACUGUGAGACAGGUGCUGCAUGGCUGUCGUCAGCUCGUGUUGUGAAAUGUUGGGUUAAGUCCCGCAACGAGCGCAACCCUUAUCCUUUGUUGCCAGCGGUCCGGCCGGGAACUCAAAGGAGACUGCCAGUGAUAAACUGGAGGAAGGUGGGGAUGACGUCAAGUCAUCAUGGCCCUUACGACCAGGGCUACACACGUGCUACAAUGGCAUAUACAAAGAGAAGCGACCUCGCGAGAGCAAGCGGACCUCAUAAAGUAUGUCGUAGUCCGGAUUGGAGUCUGCAACUCGACUCCAUGAAGUCGGAAUCGCUAGUAAUCGUAGAUCAGAAUGCUACGGUGAAUACGUUCCCGGGCCUUGUACACACCGCCCGUCACACCAUGGGAGUGGGUUGCAAAAGAAGUAGGUAGCUUAACCUUCGGGAGGGCGCUUACCACUUUGUGAUUCAUGACUGGGGUGAAGUCGUAACAAGGUAACCGUAGGGGAACCUGCGGUUGGAUCACCUCCUUA
RNAcentral lists this ribosomal RNA (1540 nucleotides) under Klebsiella pneumoniae subsp. pneumoniae. RNAcentral describes it as "bacterial SSU rRNA". It matches the Rfam family "Bacterial small subunit ribosomal RNA". Lineage: Bacteria; Pseudomonadati; Pseudomonadota; Gammaproteobacteria; Enterobacterales; Enterobacteriaceae. The record is from RNAcentral.